GAUGAACGCUGGCGGCGUGCUUAACACAUGCAAGUCGAACGGAAAGGCCGAAGCUUGCUUCGGUACUCGAGUGGCGAACGGGUGAGUAACACGUGGGUGAUCUGCCCUGUACUUCGGGAUAAGCUUGGGAAACUGGGUCUAAUACCGGAUAUGAGAAUCUCUUGGAUGGGGGUGUGGAAAGCUUUUGGGGUAUGGGAUGGGCUCGCGGCUUAUCAGCUUGUUGGUGGGGUAUUGGCCUACCAAGGCGUCGACGGGUAGCCGGCCUGAGAGGGUGUACGGCCACAUUGGGACUGAGAUACGGCCCAGACUCCUACGGGAGGCAGCAGUGGGGAAUAUUGCACAAUGGGCGGAAGCCUGAUGCAGCGACGCCGCGUGGGGGAUGACGGCCUUCGGGUUGUAAACUCCUUUCGCAACCGACGAAGCUUUUGUGACGGUAGGUGGAGAAGAAGCACCGGCUAACUACGUG
RNAcentral lists this ribosomal RNA (466 nucleotides) under uncultured bacterium. RNAcentral's name for it is "partial 16S ribosomal RNA". It matches the Rfam family "Bacterial small subunit ribosomal RNA", at positions 28 to 507 of the family's 1533-position model. The record is from RNAcentral.